This is a non-coding RNA of Podarcis raffonei (Aeolian wall lizard), 73 nucleotides long. The record is from the annotation of a RefSeq genome assembly. NCBI's taxonomy places the organism in Eukaryota, Metazoa, Chordata, Lepidosauria, Squamata, Lacertidae.
GCCGGUAUAGCUCAGCUGGCAGAGCAUGAGACUCUUAAUCUCAGCGUCAUGGGUUCAAGCCCCAUGUUUGGCA